ACUCUCCCUCAAGAGCUUCUC
Molecule: microRNA, 21 nt
Filed under: Malus domestica (apple)
Lineage: Eukaryota; Viridiplantae; Streptophyta; Magnoliopsida; Rosales; Rosaceae
Also listed under: 1 other name
Description: mdm-miR477a
Gene: mdm-miR477a
Source: miRBase by way of RNAcentral